CCAUAAGAACAAAUUCAGUCUUUCACACGCUUUUCAAACACUGAACAUAUGGACUGCAGAGACUGUCUGGUCGAUUAAAUUUUUUGGGGCUAACUAUCUGCCUUAACUCAUCAUAGCAUAAUGCUUCAAAAACGGUCUACGAGCUCGAAUGUCGACCAGCCACCAUGAAUGUAAAUUUGCUGUGGCCUCGGCGGGUGAAGGGACAGUUGAUUGGUAAGUGCUUAGAUAGAGCCUCUAUGGUCUCUUGUGACUCAAAGAUCAUUGAAUUGAUCCAGUAGACAUUCUUUAGUUUUACUAUGCACUAUAGACAUAAUGGUGCCUGUAGUUUCAGUGAUGAAAUUGCUGCAUAGGAAGUGCCAUCUGAUGCGAUAACUGACGCUGGCUGAAGCUGCUCUGAGAAAUGCACAGCCCUGAAUGUACACAUGCUUUUGACAAUUGUGGUAAUGAGAACCAAACUAACAUGGUCAUUUCUUUUACAGAUCUGCCAACCUGGGUGUGAUGCCAUGAAAAUGAUUCAAUGAAGUUACUCCCAUGAGAGCAGUGCCAGAGGGUCAAGGGGACAGUUGAUUGGUCUACAAACCUGGAUGUGACCCCCUGAAAAUACAAGUAACUCCAAUGGAAUGAGAUCAGGUCAUAGGGUGAAAGUGGUGCCAAGAACAGGAUUCAAGAACUGAAAUUCACCAAAUGACUGAUCAGUGACUGACUAAAAUAAACAAGUUCAA
Molecule: long non-coding RNA, 722 nt
Organism: Coregonus clupeaformis (lake whitefish)
Lineage: Eukaryota; Metazoa; Chordata; Actinopteri; Salmoniformes; Salmonidae
Exons: 5
Source: RefSeq, a predicted model, not a curated record